Molecule: non-coding RNA, 896 nt
Filed under: Limnonectes bannaensis (large-headed frog)
Lineage: Eukaryota; Metazoa; Chordata; Amphibia; Anura; Dicroglossidae
Description: partial 12S rRNA
Rfam family: Bacterial small subunit ribosomal RNA
Source: RNAcentral
UUCUAAGCCUACACAUGCAAGUCUCAGCUCCCCAGUGAGGACGCCCUUUUACCUUUUCCAGGCUAAGGAGCCGGUAUCAGGCACUAAAUCGCCCAUAACACCUAGUCCCACCACACCCCCAAGGGCCUUCAGCAGUGAUUAAUAUUGUUUAUAAGUGUUAACUUGACCCAGCUAUAGAAAAGAGAGCUGGCCAACUCGGUGCCAGCCGCCGCGGCUAAACCGCACGAGCUCAAAUUGAUAAUUGUCGGCGUUAAGCGUGAUUAAGGGCCUCACUAAUUAGAAUUAAACCUAAACUCAGCUGUGAUAAGCUUGUUUUCAAGAAACACAAAUACGAAAGUUGUUCUAAUCAACCCCUUGAAUACACGACAGUCGGGAAACAAACUGGGAUUAGAUACCCCACUAUGCCCCACCGUAAAAUAUAUAUUUACACUAACAAACGCCCGGGUAUUACGAGCCUCAGCUUAAAACCCAAAGGACUUGACGGUGUCCCAUCCAACUAGAGGAGCCUGUUCUAUAAUCGAUAACCCCCGAUACACCUAACCCCUCCUUGCCAAUCAGCCUGUAUACCUCCGUCGCAAACUUACCAUAUGAAUGCCAAUAGUAGGUUAAAUGGUUAUAUCACCAACACGUCAGGUCAAGGUGCAGCUCAUGAUGGGGAAAGCAAUGGGCUACAAUUUCUAAAAUAGAACACACGGAAUGCUGCAUGAAACACAGCCACGAAGGCGGAUUUAGUAGUAAAAAGAAAAUAAAGUGUCCUUUUUAAUAAGGCCCUGGGACGUGUACACACCGCCCGUCACCCUCUUCAACAGCACACAAUAUGUUUCUAACAACUCUUGCACUUUAGAAGAGGCAAGUCGUAACAUGGUAAGUGUACCGGAAGGUGCACUUGGAUUUAC